Long non-coding RNA from Solanum pennellii, 7040 nucleotides. RefSeq lists it as uncharacterized. Lineage: Eukaryota; Viridiplantae; Streptophyta; Magnoliopsida; Solanales; Solanaceae. The record is from RefSeq and is a predicted model, not a curated record. The transcript is spliced from 3 exons.
UAACAAAAUCGUAGAAACAAUGUCUAUAAAUAGCGUAAAUAAAUGUAAUAAAAAAAUACAAAUAAUGUUGGGUUGGAAGUCCACAACACUAAAAUAGGAUUUGGUUGGAAAUGGUCUUACAGUAGAAAUCCAAAAAGCUCAGAGAAAAGAGAAUGAGGUUUUGCAGAGAGUGGAAGACAAAACUCCAAAGGGCUGUGCUGCUUCCUCUCUGCAGUGCCUGUGAUUUCAAUUUUUGCUGUGAAAAAAUGAUAAUUUCAACAGCAUUUUUGCAGCUAAAUACCGACCUAACGACACCUUUGCUAGAAUCAUACAGUAAUAAUAAUAAUAAUAAUAAUUGUUGCGGAAAAACUGAGGCUGUGAUGAUUUGUACUCUGUUUUUUUUUUCUCUGAGCAAAUUGAUAGUGCAGGAGAGCAUUCGGACCCGUAUCUUGGCGGGGCAACCCGGAUAGAAGGUGACCUAGAAACCGGUGGUCGGUGGUUGCAGCCAUGGCGGUGAUUUGAGGCUCUCUUUGCUGUAUUGUGAGUAUUAAAGAUCUGAGCUUUAUUGAUUUUUCUUAAAUGCAGCUUGAAAUUUCCCAUGAAAGGAAAUAAAGCUAAGUCCAGAAAAGUUAAAGGUCAUAGACGGAAAUGAGGGUUGCGGAGAGUAGAGGGAAAGUUCAAAGGGCUGUUGCUCCUCUCUGCAAUACCUGUGAUUUCAUUUUUGUUGUGAAAAAAAUAAUCUUUAAUAGCCCUUCUGCAGUUAAACAGCAAUAUGCUUGUUCUCUCCAAUUUCUCAACUUUAAAGGGAUAAUCAGUAGUAGUAGUAAUGGUUGUUGCGAAAAUUAUGAGGCUAUGAUGAUGAUAUUUUUCUUUCUCUGAGCAAAUCAAUAGUACAGGAAAGAAAUGGACUCAUAUCUUGGCGGGGCUACCUGGAUGGCAGGUUACCUUGCAACCGGUGCUUGCAGCCCUGGCGGUGAUUCCAGUCUCUCUUGCCAUGUUGUAAGUAUUACAAAUCUGAGCCUCAAUGUUUCAUUUGUACAGUAUUGGAAACAAUCUAGUUAACUCUACAAGGUAGGAGUGAGAUAACGCUGGGUUGUUGUUAUUGCAGCUGUGAAAUUCGCAGGUCGAAAAACACAUGACUAUUUCUCUUUUAAAGGAAAAAAAGCUUAGCUCAGAGACGAAUAAUGAGGGUUGCAGAGAGUAGAGAGGAACCCUUCAAAGGGCUGUUGCUCCUCUCUGCAAUACCUGUGAUUACCAUUUUCACUGUGAAAAUAAAUAUUAAUUCAACAGCUCUUUUCAGUUAAAACAAUUACCAAACAAACCCUUAAUCUUUGCUUGUUCUCUCGAAAUUCUCAACCCCAACCCCAAAUAGAGAAUCAAUAGUGGUAGUAAUAAUAAUAAUAAUUGUUGCAAAAAUUUCCGAGGCUAUGAUGAUGAUUUUCUUCUUCCUCUGAGCAAAUAAAUAGUGCAGGAAAGAGAUUGUGUACCUGUAUCUUGGUGUGGCAACCCGGAUGAGAGGUUACCCUGCAACCGAUGCUUGCAGAGCUGGCGAUGAUUCCAGUGUAUCUUGCCGUAUCGCAAGUAUUACAAAUCUGAGCCUCAAUGUUUGGAUUUGCUUAGGGUCUACUGAAAAUCGCCUCUUGACCUCCACAAGGUAGAGGUCAAAUUAUACUGGGUUGUUGUUGUUGCAGUUGGGAAAUUCGCAGGUCUAUUUUGAUUUCCCAUAAAAAGCAAAAAGCUUAGCGUCGAAAGUAAAAGUUCAGAGACUAAGAAUGAGGGUUGCAGAGAGCAGAGGGGAAGUUCAAAUGGCUGUUGCUCCUCUCUGCAAUAACUGUGAUUUUGAUUUCAGUGUUGCUGUGUUGCAGUUAAACAGAGACCAAAUGACGCUUAAGUCUUUGCUUGUUCUCUCCAAAUUCUCACACCCAGUUAUAAUAAUAAUUGUUUAAACAAUUCUGAAGCCGUGAUGAAGAUUGUCUUCUUCCUUUGAGCAAAUCAAUAGUGCGGGAGAGCAAUUGGAUCCGUAUCUUAGCGGGACAACCCGGAGAUCUUAAACUUAAGAUAUGUAGAAUGUUCCUAAAUGCCUUUUAAUAUUGUGGUUUUAAAGGUGUCACGUGGAAAGUUAGAAGUCAAAGUGUUGCCAAAAAAGAUAAGAGACAUUCUAAAGGGAAGACAAAGAUCUGAGCCUCACUUUCUCCAUCGGUUUAGUUAAAUGAACAAAGCAAAAGCUUCGAAGGGAAAGAAUGAGGCUACAGAGAGUUUAGGGAUUUUUCAUUGAAAGGGUGGUUGCCUCUCUCUGCAUCAGGCAAUGAUUUCUCCAUUACUGUAAGAACGCCAAGUCCCCAACAACCCUUUUAUCGAUUUUAAUGGAGUAAUAUUAACAAUUUGUUUGGAUUGUUGUUUACAUAUUAUUACAAAUGGUUUCUAUAUACCCUUUCAUGCUAUGCCAUCUCUUUUCUCUAAUGCUUCUGCCGGAGCAUUGAAUGCUGGUGUUGGAAGCUGUGUGGUUGAGGAUAACCCGUGGCUUGAAAGAGGCAAUGAUGAUUUUGUCAAUUUUUAAUAUCCUUCUGAGCUGAUUAAUCAGGCAUUUGAGACCAUCCGGCCUGUAUCUUGGCGGGGCAUGCUCCCAGACUUUCUGGUGGUUGUUGCAGCCAUGAUGUUGUUGGACUCUCUUGUUGCCCGAGCUUAACACUGAUCUGAGCCUCACUUUGUCUUAUCAAUUGGGAAACUAUUAUUAGGGCUUAUCAUGGUGUGGUAACUUUCUCUUUUUUAAAAAGGGAAAAGGAUCAAAUAUGUCAUUGAACUUUGAGAAAAGACUCAUUUGUGCCAUCCAUUAAAAGUUUGGCUCAUCUCUGCCAUUUCCGUUUACGAAAAGGCUCAUCCAUGCCAUUCUAUGUUAAUUGAAAAAAGUUUUGCUUUUGCAAAACCAUUUAUUACACGUGGUCAAUUAGGAUUCAGCCAUAUCAUUUAUUAAAUCAUUUUUUAAUAGGAGAAGACUCAAAUAUGCCACCAAUGACCAAACUUUGAGAAAAAGGGUCAUUUAGGCCAUUUCCUGAAAGAGGCAGUGCUGAUACUUGUUAAUUGGGCCAUUUACGACAAUUUUCUAAGACCGCUAUUUUAAAUUUUUCCUCAUUUCCAUCCAGGCAUUGAGGCAUCCCGUCCGUAUCUUGGCUUGGCAAACACCGGAAUGGUCUGUGAAUGGAGGUUUCUCUUUCACAUGCAAUCGGUUCUAUUGCAGCCAUGGCUUGGUCGUCUUCUCUUUGCCUCAUCAGAAACUGAGAUCUGAGCCUCAUUUUCUAAAUUUCCUUUUGACGACCCGCUGACCUGGGAAUCGAACACGCAACCUUCUUUAAUGGAAACUCAUUUUGCCUCGUUUCAAAGAGAAGUUGGAUUUUCCCUUCUCUUGAUGUGUUGAGUCUGUGGAAUUCUUUUCACAGGAGAUAACAACAUCAUUUUAAUGCAACCAUCGAUUGGGUUUUCAAUUGAAGGUUGUUCUCUGGAUUUGGGGUUCUUCAGUUUUAUGUGUUAGACUGACGUGAUAACCAACUACAACUUUAUUUCUGCUCAAUGGAUGAGGCUUUGGGGGAUCAGAUGAUUCUCAGAGUGGAUAAGCAUCUUCGACAUGCAGGCAUGGCAGGUUUCCAGGAAUUCCAGUGCUCCAGAUACAAGUCUGAGCCUCCAGUUGAGAGCAAAGCAUUAACAUAGUAAUAGUAGUACUUGGGCCCUCUGUCUGAUUUAUGAGCUUAAUUCAAAUUGUCCUAAUAUCUUGAAAAUUGUGCAACCAUUUUCUCGAAGUGGCAGUGAUAAUAUUUGCUUAUCUGAGCUUUGGGAAUAAAGACAAUCAGACCCGUAUCUUGCCUUGGCAAACCCCAGUUGCUAUGUGAUUUAAGGCCUCUCUUUCACAUGCAACCAGUACUUUUGCAGCUGCGGCGUGCUCUCUUUCUCUGCUCCCUUUAAUAGGUCAGAUCUGAGCCACAAAUUUGCAAGUAGUUCUAGACAUUUGUUUGGUGGAAACCAAAUCCAUUUCACUUAUUUUAAAAGCCAGCUCAAUGAGGCAUCAUGAGAAACACAAACUUUUUAUUUAUUAUUCAUUCAUUCAGUGUUGGUAGUAAGCCCACGUUUUUUUGCUUCUGCAUGGCUGCAUGAACACCUAAACAGCGAGAAUCAUACUAGAAAAAGGUGAAAUUGAGGCAGUGAUGAUAUUGUUCUUGGCAAACAAAAGCUAAGUUGAGCAUAGCCUAGAAAGGAAAAAGAAUGAGGCAUCUGAGAAAUUGGGACUUUCUGAAAGGGUGGUUGCCCCUCUCUGCUAUGCCAGUGAAUUCUCCGUUAAUGGACCAUAAAAACCAACAGCCCUUCGAAAUAAACAAGAAAAAACAAAAAACCUUCAUACCAAACACAACCGUAUACUCUUCUUGCUCUUCCUCUUUCUUCUCUCUUUGUGCUGCUAAUGUUGUAAAGGGGCUAUGAUGAUUGUUACUUCUUUUCUGGGUUAUAUUCAAUCAUGGCAAUUGAGAAAAUAUCCUACCCGUAUCUUGGCAUGGCGACCUGGUUAGGCUUUGAAGAGCAAACUGGUGUCUGCAGCCAUGGCGGCGUCACUCUUCUCUUGUUCAAGUACAGCAAAUCUGAGCCCUCAAUAACCCAUUACUACAACAACAUAUCCAGAAGUGGUGUGGGGAAAGAUGGUGUCUGUGCAGCCUUUACCCCAACCCAUUCGGUUCGGAAAAUCCAUUACGGAUUUCCAAUGAAAUUUCAACUCUGAAGAAUGAGGCGUCAGAGAAUGGGAUUUUCUGUAAAGGGUGGUUGCCCAUCUCUGCGUUGCCAGUGAUUUUCCCAUUAAUGGACCAAAAAAACCCAACAGCCCUUUGAAUUAAACAACAACAACAAUAAAAACUUUAUACCAAACACACCCUAUACUACUCUUCCUCUUUCUCCUCUCUUUGUGCUGAUAAUGUUUUGAAGGGGCUAUGAUGAUUGAUUCCUUCCUUUCCGGGCUAUGUUCAAUCAUGGAAAUUGAGAAAACAUCCGACCUGCAUCUUGGCAGGGCAACCUGGUUAGGGCUUUGAAUAGAUAACUGGUGUCUGCAGCCAUGGUGGUGUCGCUCUUCUCUUUUGCUUUGUCCAGAUACAGCAAAUCUGAGCCCUCAAUAACCCAUUCGGGUAGGAUAAUCAUUUUUUGGUUUGCUUUGAAAUUGCAACUUUGAAGAAUGAGGCGUUGGAGAAAUUGGGAUUUUCUGUGAAGGGUGGUUGCCAAUCUCUGCUGUGGCCAGUGACUUCUCCAUUAAUGGACCAAAAAACCCAACAACCCUUUCUCAAAUAAACAAAAAGAAAGCAAAUUGAAAAACUUCAUCCAAAUUCCAAACACCCCCUCUAUAUUCUUCUUGCUCUUCCUCUGUCUCGUUGUGCUUCUGCUGUUACUAUUGCUUAAAUUGGCUGUGAUGAUUGCUUGCUUCCUUCUGGGCUAUGUUCAAUCAUGGCAUUUAGAGAAGAUCGGACCCGUAUCUUGGCAGGGAGAUCUAGUUUGGUUUUGAAUAGCAAACUGGUGUCUGCAGCCAUGGCGAUGGCGCUCUUCUCUUUUGCUUUGUUCAAAUCUGAGCCUUCACUAACCCAUUCGGGUUGGAGAACCCAUUACGGGUUUGCGUUUAAAUUUCAGCUCCAGCUCUGAAGAAUGAGCCAUUGGAGAAACUUGGAUUUUCUGUCAAAGGGUGGUUGCCCAUCUCUGCUUUGCCAGUGAUGUCACCAUUGAUUACCAUAAAACCACUAGCCCCCCUUAAAAUAAACAAGAAAGAAAAAAGAAAAACAAAUUGCAAACUUCAUCCAAAGACAUUCUAUACUGUUUCACCGUCUCUUUGUGCUGCUGUUGCUAAUGAUGUUGUAUAGGGGUUGUGAUGAUUGCUUGCUUCAUGUCUGGUCUUUCUUCAAUCAUGGCAUUGCUCAAAGUUUCAUUACAAAUAUGUUGUCAAAAUAUUUAAUAUAUCUAAUAGAUCUUUCAUUAAAAAUAUUUACAGCACUAAUUGCAGCAGUAUUAUAUAGUUCGUGCUUAAUUCUACCGUAGGUUGCCGACGUGGCGAUGUGGUGACUGGCAAGUGUAAUUGCAGUAAAUUCACUAGAGAAUCAUACUAGAAAAUUGAGGCAGGAUGAUAUGGUUCUUUGUAGCCCAGUUGCCAGUUUAGGGCAGCAAGAGAUGGUUCAGUAGACGUCAGGGCGACCCAGUUACGGCUUUGAAUAGCAAACUGGUGUCUGCAUCCAUGGCGGCAUCACUUCUCUCUUUUGCUUUGUUCAGAUAUUGCAAUUCUGAGCCCUCAAAUGAAAUUUCAGCUUUGAAGAAUGAAGCAUCAGAGAAAUUGGGAUUUUCUGUAAAAGGGUGGUUGCCCGUCUCUGCUUUGCCAGUGAUUUUUCCAUUGAUAACCAAAAAAUAACAGCCCUUUUAAAUAAACAAAAGGGAAAAAGAUGUCAUCCAAACACACCUCUGUACUCUUGUUGUUCUUCCUCUCGUCUUCUUGUGUUGCUGUUGCUGCUGCUGGUGUUGUAAAGGGGGCUAUGAUGAUUGCUUACUUUCCUUUUUGGGCUAUGAAGCUGUGUUCAAUUAUAGCAUUGAGAAAAACCUGCAUCUUAGCUGGGCGACCCGGUUAUGGCUUUGAAUAGCAAACUGGUGUCUGCAUCCAUGGCUGUGGCGUUCUUCUCUUUUCUUUGUUAAGAAAUACAACAAAUCUGAGCCCUGAAUAACCCAUUUUAUGAUCUUCCAUGGUGAGUCUAUUCCCUGGUUGGAAAACCUAUUGCGUGUGUUGAAAUUUCGGCUCUGAAUUCAGAAUUAGGGAGAAAAUGACAAAUCUCUUUAUGUUUGAGGGUAUGUCCAAAAUAGUCCCUUAAAUAUGCACUUAACAAUUUUGGUCCUUGAAGUUUUCCAAAAGUUAACACCUAACCAAUUUGCGCAUUGAGAUUAUCCAAUCUGUAUCUUGGUGUGGUGACCCGGUAUGGCUUGUGAUUGCUGCUUCUGUCUCUUGCAUGCAACCGGUGAUUGGCUAAUGUUUCGCUUUUGUCAUAACAUACAUCUGAGUCCCAUUUGCU